UUCCAAUGUUUCAUAAGUACAUAUAUGAAUCAAUAUGCAAUCAUCCGCAGGUAUUUACAAUAUAGAAGUUUACAAAAUCCUUCAGGAAAUGGUAAUUUUACAAUAUAGGUUGACAAAAUAUCACUCAACAAAGUUAGGAAACAGUACAAUCUAGCUCACACAAAGAUAACGUUUAAACUAUUGAAGUUAUUAUUCAUGUUGUCAUCGGCCCUCCUCCUGGAAACUAUGUAUCAUGUCAUGCUGAUUGUUAUUGGCAGCACCAAGUAGCCCACUAUGCAAUCAUACCUAGCAUAUUUACAAGACCAUCAGAUAUGUUAGAUAUAAAUAGAUAGAAGAGAAUUGUAACAAAUGUAAAAACUGAAUCAUGUGUUAUCCAAAAUUCUUAAAUCUUACACUGCUACAAACGAGAAUAGCAUAAUAUCUGCUACAUAUAAGUUUCAUGUAGAUCUGUAUGAAUUAGGACAACCAAGUUAUGUGUAAAACAUACAAUGUUAAGUACUUUGCAUAUCAUGCAAACAAGAAACAGAAAAACACUUGUCUGACAAUGGGGGACAAUACAUAAUACAAUGCACAAGAUUCAUUCAAUUAACAUAUGUGCAAUAAUACGUGACAAUGUAGUAACUUCAGCAAAAGAAGGCAUGUACCUGUACUUCAGCAAAAGAAGGCAUGUACCUGUAUGUUUACGAGAGAGAUACACAAACUUCAAUUGUUUUGUUUUGUAAAAUAGAGACCUGUACGUUUAGGAGAAGGAUAUGGAAUUGUUAAUCAAAUAAGAAAAUAUAGAUAACGGACACUAGAUGCAUGCAUCGAUGCUUUGAACUGGACACUUUCCCACAUUUUGAGAAUAUCCAUGGAAACCAAACACAACACUUGACCAGAUUUGCAGCCCGCUUCCUAAAGAAAAUUCUGUUAUUUUUUGAGAUUUUUUUUUGUUGCCGUGCACCUGAUGGGGAUUUCGAGCAACAUGAACACAAAUUGUGAAGGAAAACUUCAGCCCUAACACAUCCGCACGGCCGCGCAGAGCUGGUAAUUGAUGAACUAUGUGGCACAUCGGCCAGGCUAGAUCCAGCACCUUGCCGGAAGUGGGAAGUGGCUAUUGCGCGUCAGUAUACUGUAUGCAAGGCAGAUUUUGAGGAAAAAUACUAAUCAUUAUGGCCAAUAUAGAUUUUAUGCUAGACUUUUUGUUGACCUUCUAUUAGAGUGUUCUUUCUAAGCUAAGACAUGAAAAGGAAAAAAGAAGAAUACUACUACUCGAAACAAGUUGUGUACGUGCCCCAUAUUUUGUGUGAAGAAACUGGC
Molecule: long non-coding RNA, 1299 nt
Filed under: Triticum aestivum (bread wheat)
Lineage: Eukaryota; Viridiplantae; Streptophyta; Magnoliopsida; Poales; Poaceae
Description: long non-coding RNA (TAES_LNC017008)
Source: RNAcentral